UAUGGCUAAUACAUGCGCAAAUGCCUCCUUCUCUGGAGGGGCUGUGUUUAUUAGAUACAAAACCAACCCACUUUUGUGGAGUCCUGGUGAUUCAUAGUAACCAAACGGAUCGCAUUUGGCUUCGGCCCGCGAUGGAUCUUUCAAGUUUCUGACCUAUCAGCUUUCGACGGUAGGGUAUUGGCCUACCGUGGCAGUGACGGGUAACGGGGAAUUAGGGUUCGAUUCCGGAGAGGGAGCCUGAGAAACGGCUACCACAUCUAAGGAAGGCAGCAGGCGCGCAAAUUACCCAAUGAAAACAGUUUCGAGGUAGUGACGAGAAAUAACAAUACAGGGCAUUUUAUGCUCUGUAAUUGGAAUGAUGGGAAUGUAAAACCCUUCCAGAGUAACAAUUGGAGGGCAAGUCUGGUGCCAGCAGCCGCGGUAAUUCCAGCUCCAAUAGUGUAUAUUAGAGUUGUUGCAGUUAAAAAGCUCGUAGUUGGAUUUCUGCUGUGGUCAUCCGGUACCGCCCGUAUGGGUGCGCACCU
RNAcentral lists this ribosomal RNA (524 nucleotides) under Eimeria zuernii. RNAcentral describes it as "SSU rRNA". It matches the Rfam family "Eukaryotic small subunit ribosomal RNA", at positions 159 to 682 of the family's 1831-position model. Lineage: Eukaryota; Apicomplexa; Conoidasida; Eucoccidiorida; Eimeriidae. The record is from RNAcentral.